Molecule: ribosomal RNA, 255 nt
Filed under: uncultured bacterium
Lineage: Bacteria
Description: partial 16S ribosomal RNA
Rfam family: Bacterial small subunit ribosomal RNA
Source: RNAcentral
UACAGAGGGGGCAAGCGUUGUUCGGAAUUACUGGGCGUAAAGGGCGCGUAGGCGGCCUUCUAAGUCGAACGUGAAAUCCCCGGGCUCAACCCGGGAACUGCGUCCGAUACUGGAAGGCUUGAAUCCGGGAGAGGGAUGCGGAAUUCCAGGUGUAGCGGUGAAAAUGCGUAGAUAUCUGGAGGAACACCGGUGGCGAAGGCGGCAUCCUGGACCGGCAUUGACGCUGAGGCGCGAAAAGCCCAGGGGGAGCAAACG